This 2828-nucleotide long non-coding RNA is filed under the name Sarcophilus harrisii (Tasmanian devil). Its description in RNAcentral is "lncRNA (ENSSHAG00000026603.1)". Lineage: Eukaryota; Metazoa; Chordata; Mammalia; Dasyuromorphia; Dasyuridae. The record is from RNAcentral.
UACAUAUGAUGCUUACUGAUGGUUUUAAAUAGAUGCUGCUGAUUAUUUUAAGGAAAAGUCCAUUUAUUCCUAUCCUCUCAAGUGUUUUUAAUAGGAAUGGAUGUUGGAUUUUAUCAAAUGCUUUUUCUGCAUCUAUUGAGAUGAUCAUAUGGUUUUUGUUAAUUUGGUUAUUAACAUGGCCAAUUAUAUUGAUAGUUUUCCUAAUAUUGAACCAGCCCUGCAUUCCUGGUAUAAAUCCUACUUGAUCAUAGUGUAUUAUCUUGGAGAUGAUUUUCUGUAGUCUUUUUGCUAAUAUCUUAUUUAAGAUUUUAGCAUCAAUAUUCAUUAGGGAGAUUGGUCUAUAAUUUUCUUUCUCUGUUUGGCUGAGAAGAUUUUUUUAAAAAAAAUUUAUUCUGGUAUCUCAGUAAUAUUUUAGUUAAUUACCAAAAGUCUGGCUAAUGAUGAAAUGAGGAAGGAUAUUGCUGUGUACGAAUGAUUUAUAGUAUAAAUCUCUAAAGAACAAGAAGUGUUUACAUGUAUGUAACUAUUUGAGGUAAAACACAAUUAUGAUACUUUUAAAGAAAUUUAGCAUAUUUGUAAUUUAUAAACAUAAAUUACAAAUUAAAUCUAUACUGUAUUUUAUUCAUCUUAUUGUUCCCAUUCACAGUAUACAUCGGUAAUUUUAAUUUUCACAUAUAUUUUUCUUAUAUUAAGAGGAAUUCUGAGGUUUGAAAUAGUUUUUUUUUAAAUAAAGUAAUGUGUAACUUAGAGAUUCUGUUUAGCCUACAAUAACCCAAAGUAGGUUAUUUUAAAUUCAAUUUAAAUCUAUUGACAAAAUAAUAUUUUGGUAUAAUCUUAGGAUUUAUAUUGUGCUAAAGAACUGAAUUCUAAAUAUACUGCUACUGUCCACAGAUUUUAAAUUCCUAAUAUUUUUCUUUACUUGUGUAUUCUCUGUAUAGAUUCAAUUUGCCUUUGGGAAUAUCAGGAAUCAGUUCUUACAUAUAAACUAUCAGUAAAUUUUUAAAAUCACAAUGAACACAACUCAUGAGAAAAGUUUAAAAAAGAUAAUUAGUAGACUACAGGAAAAAUUCUCAGAAAGAAGGAAAACUAAAUCCCAGUUAAAGAAUCAAAAAUGGAAUGUGAUAGAGAACUCUAUAGAGGCAGAACGGCCCUUAUGAUUGCUGUCACUAAGGAAUCAACAGGCUUGGUCACUCUUCUUCUUCACCAUAAUGCUGAUCACACUAUUCAAGAUGUGUAUGGAUGGACAGCUGAGCUGUAUGCUAAGCAAUAUGGUUAUCCUCUACUUACUUAUCAUCAACAAAUUGAAAAUCAGAAAGAGUGUAAUAAGCCCAGCACAUCUCAAAUCAGCUGUUCAGAACAAGCCUCUGGGGUUAAAUUUCCUUUGGGUGUACCAUUCCUGCACAAAAAAGGUAGAACUGAAAAACCCAAAUAAAUAGUUACUUAAAAAAAAUAAGAGCAAUCUUAAAAUUCAUACAUACUCUAUUUUUCUAUUUCCAUUUUCUAUUUUAAAACAAUAGGAACUGGUUUAUCUUUGGUUAAUGAAUUAAUUACCAAGUUGAGGUCUACUACCCUGGAAGUGCAAAAACAAUGUUUGUGUUACUUUUAUCUGCUUUAUCUCCCCCAAAAUGUUAGGCUAAACUAUCAAUUUUCUGAUUUAUAAAUUAUUGUACAAAUGUCUAACCAAAUUAUUCUACAUAUGUUAAACCAAAAUAACCAAAUGAUUUAACCCAAAGUGAAAAUUCUUUACCACUUAAAAUAUUAAGUGUAACAUUAGGUAAUAUGAUGGUUUUUAUGCUUCAAUGUGGGCUAAAUAAAUAAUGCCAUUACUUAUGAUUUAAUAUAAAUAGAAAGACUGAUUGAUAGAUAAAACAAUCAAACAGCAGAAGAGGAGAAUCUUCAUUCUUUUUUGGCAUUCUCUAAAUCACUUAUCCAAGCUUUGGAAACACAUUUUAAAUGUUUUCAAAAUUUUACAAUGUUCAUAAAGCUUUCUCUCAAUACAAACUAAUGAAAAUGAAAAAGUCAUAAUAAUUGGGACCAGGGUAAUUGAAAGGUAAUUCAUACGAUCGUACUUUUUCUGCGGAUAUUUGCAUACAUGCCCACCUCCAACUUGAUCCUAAGAAAACUUUGCACUCUUCUGAUUCAGAUAGUUAAACUUUAGAAGAGAGAGCAUUUUCUAGUUGAGCUUCUAACACUUUAACCUGCUAACUGGGCCAUUUGAUAACUUAAUAACCUAGGCUUGCAAUAAUAAAUUCAUCUCACCUGUAUAAGAUUAUUAUUUUUUUCAUAUCCAUUUUAUCCAUUACCACAUGAGAAAGAUAGUAUGGGUAUUUUGGUAAUUCCUACUUAAAUGGUGGUGAAAGCAGAAAACUUAAAUGACUUCCUUAAUAGGAUAGAGUGAUCAAGCACUUUUAAUACUUGGGCAUUACACUAUCAGAAGGAGAUGGGUUAUAUAAUUCCUUCCUUAUGGAAGAAAUGAGAAAUCACAAUGGCAAAAAAAGCAGUAUUUAAUUUUAAGUAUAGCUUACUACUGCCUAAAAAUAUUCUUUAAAUAUUUUUAAAUCUUAUUCCUAGUGAUAUGAAAAUUGAUCAUCACUUUUCCUUAUUUUAUUAAUUUGUAAAAUAGUAGAUUUCUAGCUACAUAUGUAAAAUUAUUGUGACAGGCAUUUAAAGGGAUAAAGUGAAGUUCUAUUCAUCAAAAUCUAGUAUUAUAUUUUAUCAUGUUAAUUAGAUAUAAACAUUUUAAACAGUUUUAAAAAUUCCUAAUCCAAUUUUAAUAAAAAUGACUAUAUUAAUAAUCUCAUUGACAAUGGGGUAUCAGUGAAGAAAUC